UAGGGAAUAUUGGACAAUGGGUGAGAGCCUGAUCCAGCCAUGCCGCGUGCAGGAAGAGGGCGUUAUGCGUUGUAAACUGCUUUUUGCCAGGGGAUAAAAAAGACCGUGCGCGGUUAAUUGAAGGUACCUGGUGAAUAAGCCACGGCUAACUACGUGCCAGCAGCCGCGGUAAUACGUAGGUGGCAAGCGUUGUCCGGAUUUAUUGGGUUUAAAGGGUGCGUAGGUGGCCCUGUAAGUCAGUGGUGAAAUAUCUCAGCUUAACUGAGAGGGUGCCAUUGAUACUGCAGGGCUUGAGUACAGAUGAGGUAGGCGGAAUUGACGGUGUAGCGGUGAAAUGCAUAGAUAUCGUCAAGAACACCGAUAGCGAAGGCAGCUUACCAAGCUGUAACUGACACUGAGGCACGAAAGUGUGGGGAUCAAACAGGAUUAGAUACCCGUGUAGUCCCUGAGCGGGCUGGCAAGGCGCAU
This 468-nucleotide ribosomal RNA is filed under the name uncultured bacterium. RNAcentral's name for it is "bacterial SSU rRNA". It matches the Rfam family "Bacterial small subunit ribosomal RNA", at positions 355 to 825 of the family's 1533-position model. The record is from RNAcentral.